Molecule: ribosomal RNA, 459 nt
Filed under: uncultured bacterium
Lineage: Bacteria
Description: partial 16S ribosomal RNA
Rfam family: Bacterial small subunit ribosomal RNA
Source: RNAcentral
CCUACGGGAGGCAGCAGUGAGGAAUAUUGGUCAAUGGCCGAGAGGCUGAACCAGCCAAGUCGCGUGAGGGAAGACGGCCCUACGGGUUGUAAACCUCUUUUGUCGGGGAGCAAAGCGAGUCACGUGUGACUCAUUGAGAGUACCCGAAGAAAAAGCAUCGGCUAACUCCGUGCCAGCCGCCGCGGUAAUACGGAGGAUGCGAGCGUUAUCCGGAUUUAUUGGGUUUAAAGGGUGCGCAGGCGGAGGUGCAAGUCAGCGGUCAAAUUGCGGGGCUCAACCCCGUACUGCGGUUGAAACUGCAUCCCUAGAGUGCGCGAGAAGUAUGUAGAAUGCGUGGUGUAGCGGUGAAAUGCAUAGAUAUCACGCAGAACUCCGAGUGCGAAGGCAGCAUACCGGCGCGCAACUGACGCUCAUGUACGAAAGCGUGGGUAUCGAACAGGAUUAGAUACCCCUGUAGUC